GACAGGAGCAGAGAUGGGCUUGGAGGUAGAGUUGGAUGGCUUCCCCUUAAGUACACAGAGUUAAAGGGAACUGAAUGAUCAAAGAAGGGGUAGAUUGAUUUCUACAACGGAGGAGAGAGGAUAGGUCAGUGAAGACAGGAAGCAUCACUGGAUCCUUCGGCAUAGAGGAACCCUUGAGUGUGUGUCUUCUUUCUGUUUGCCUCCUCCUCUCUGCAUCUGUCUGAGGUUGAGCUGCCUAGAUUCCUGCAGAACCAAGGUCACGGGAAAGGUCUUGAGGCUCACAGGGUCAGAGCUGCACACCUCCUUGGAAGACACCAGGAUUUGCUCUCAUUCCACAGAUGACCCAAGAGCUCCUAGACUUGUCUAGAAGACACGUGGAGAACCAGAAUGACAAGGCCUGCUCCUGUGUAUGUGUCCUAAAGGCACUUCCUGUCUGGACUAGUGCAGGAGAUCAGAGUCUCAAAUUCAAGAGCAAGAUAAAUAACCUAUAGAGGGGGAACUUCUUGGAUGAGGUCAACAAGCACCCACAAUUCCUUCAAAGGACAAUGAUCAUGGUUUGGACGGUCAUGACUUUUUGUGGAACAGCAGAGCAGGGAAAGAGUAUGCUUUCUGCUAAAAUCGGCAACAUCAUCUCCUCUGGGAACUCUUAAGAAGCCUGUUACCUGACCUCUUCACAGCCGCACAAACCCAGUCGCCAAUAUUUGCAUACUUUCUCCAAGGACGCAGUUCCCCCGGGACAGUUCAUAAAUCCACAUCUUGGGAAAUGUUCAUAGGAUGCUACAAACUAAACAGGGCUUUGUUAAAUAAAGCUGGGGUGUACUGAUGGCA
This is a long non-coding RNA of Rattus norvegicus (Norway rat), 828 nucleotides long. Ensembl lists it as uncharacterized. Lineage: Eukaryota; Metazoa; Chordata; Mammalia; Rodentia; Muridae. The record is from Ensembl.